This is a long non-coding RNA of Sinocyclocheilus rhinocerous, 568 nucleotides long. RefSeq lists it as uncharacterized. NCBI's taxonomy places the organism in Eukaryota, Metazoa, Chordata, Actinopteri, Cypriniformes, Cyprinidae. The transcript is spliced from 3 exons. The record is from RefSeq and is a predicted model, not a curated record.
GCCAUAAUUACAUCUGUGUUUGAGAGUCGGUGCCGUCUGAUUCUAACAAUUCUCUGGAUCACUGUGACUCUCCUCAUCGCCAUCUACAUACCAGACAUGAGUGAGGCCAUCAGCGUAAUCGGGGGAAUUAGCGCUUUCUUUCUUUCUUUUUCCUGGGCUGUGUCUCAUUUUUUCCAUGCAGACAGAGCCUAUAAAUCGCAGGAUCAGAGCUCUCUUGACAGGGUGGGGUGUGGUGACUGUCGUUACUGGAGCUUUUAUCUUUGGCCAGAGCACAUCUAUAGCUGUUAUGGAGCUGAUGCACAAGUUUUAAUUUACGUCAUGGUCUUCAUCAUUUGGAAUAUCAUUGUCUUGACAAAAUGUGUUUAUAUAUUUGAUUGAUGAAUGAUAAACCGUAUGAUACUUGAAACUGGGGAAGAGUAGCAGCUACAUGUUUUAGAAGAAAAUGUCACACCACAGUGCCUUAUGCUUGUAUUGCUGUUACUGCUCAGUUUUAUAUGUUGUGUGUGUUUGUGCGUGUGUGACUAAGAAAAUGUGUUGGAGGAUUUUUGUUUAUAUAUUUAUUAUAUUG